GAGUUUGAUCAUGGCUCAGGACGAACGCUGGCGGCGCGCUUAACACAUGCAAGUCGAGCGAGAACCAGGCCUUCGGGCCUGGGGAAAGCGGCGAACGGGUGAGUAACACGUGGGUAACCCACCCUUGGUACCGGGAUAGCCCGAGGAAACUCGGAUUAAUACCGGAUGGCCCAACAGCUUCUCGGAGCGGUUGGAAAAGGUAGCUUCGGCCUCCGACCAAGGACGGGCCCGCGGUGGAUUAGCUUGUUGGUGAGGUAACGGCUCACCAAGGCUUCGAUCCAUAGCUGGUCUGAGAGGACGAUCAGCCACACUGGGACUGAGACACGGCCCAGACUCCUGCGGGAGGCAGCAGUGGGAAUCUUGCGCAAUGGGCGAAAGCCUGACGCAGCGACGCCGCGUGGGGGAAGAAGGCUUUCGGGUUGUAAACCCCUUUCAGGAAGGACGAAGCCACUCGGGUUAAUAGCCCAGAGGGUGACGGUACUU
Molecule: ribosomal RNA, 483 nt
Filed under: uncultured bacterium
Lineage: Bacteria
Description: bacterial SSU rRNA
Rfam family: Bacterial small subunit ribosomal RNA
Source: RNAcentral